This 334-nucleotide unclassified non-coding RNA is filed under the name soil metagenome. RNAcentral describes it as "partial contains 5.8S ribosomal RNA, internal transcribed spacer 2, and large subunit ribosomal RNA". The stretch from base 1 to 120 matches the Rfam family "5.8S ribosomal RNA", at positions 35 to 154 of the family's 154-position model. The record is from RNAcentral.
GAUGAAGAACGUAGCGAAAUGCGAUAAGUAAUGUGAAUUGCAGAAUUCAGUGAAUCAUCGAAUCUUUGAACGCACAUUGCGCCCCCUAGUAUUCUGGCGGGCAUGCCUGUUCGAGCGUCAUUUCAACCAUCAAGCCCUGCUUGUGUUGGGGUCCUGCGGCUGCCCGCAGGCCCUGAAAACCAGUGGCGGGCUCGCUAGUCACACCGAGCGCAGUAGCACAUCUCGCUCAGGGCGUGCGGCGGGCUCCAGCCGUUAAAGCACCCACCUUUCGCAAGGUUGACCUCGGAUCAGGUAGGAAUACCCGCUGAACUUAAGCAUAUCAAUAAGCGGAGGA